CUGCUGCCUCCCGUAGGAGUCUGGUCCGUGUCUCAGUACCAGUGUGGGGGACCUUCCUCUCAGAACCCCUACGCAUCGUCGCCUUGGUGGGCCGUUACCCCGCCAACUAGCUAAUGCGACGCAUGACCAUCCGUAGCCGGAAUCGCUUCCUUUAAACCCGAGGAGAUGCCUCCUCGGGUUGUUACGCGGUAUUAGACGGAAUUUCUUCCGCUUAUCCCCCUGCUACGGGCAGGUUUCAUACGUGUUACUCACCCCGUGCGCCGGUCGCCGGCGGGAGUA
Molecule: ribosomal RNA, 279 nt
Filed under: uncultured bacterium
Lineage: Bacteria
Description: partial 16S ribosomal RNA
Source: RNAcentral